Molecule: ribosomal RNA, 253 nt
Filed under: uncultured bacterium
Lineage: Bacteria
Description: partial 16S ribosomal RNA
Rfam family: Bacterial small subunit ribosomal RNA
Source: RNAcentral
UACAGAGGUCUCAAGCGUUGUUCGGAUUCAUUGGGCGUAAAGGGCGCGUAGGCGGCCUUCUAAGUCGAACGUGAAAUCCCCGGGCUCAACCCGGGAACUGCGUCCGAUACUGGAAGGCUUGAAUCCGGGAGAGGGAUGCGGAAUUCCAGGUGUAGCGGUGAAAUGCGUAGAUAUCGGAAGGAACAUCAGUGGCGAAAGCGGCUUCCUGGACCAGAACUGACGAUCAGGCUCGAAAGCGUGGGGAGCAAACAGG